GAUGAACGCUGGCGGCGUGCCUAAUACAUGCAAGUCGAGCGAAUGGAUUAAGAGCUUGCUCUUAUGAAGUUAGCGGCGGACGGGUGAGUAACACGUGGGUAACCUACCCAUAAGACUGGGAUAACUCCGGGAAACCGGGGCUAAUACCGGAUAAUAUUUUGAACUGCAUAGUUCGAAAUUGAAAGGCGGCUUCGGCUGUCACUUAUGGAUGGACCCGCGUCGCAUUAGCUAGUUGGUGAGGUAACGGCUCACCAAGGCGACGAUGCGUAGCCGACCUGAGAGGGUGAUCGGCCACACUGGGACUGAGACACGGCCCAGACUCCUACGGGAGGCAGCAGUAGGGAAUCUUCCGCAAUGGACGAAAGUCUGACGGAGCAACGCCGCGUGAGUGAUGAAGGCUUUCGGGUCGUAAAACUCUGUUGUUAGGGAAGAACAAGUGCUAGUUGAAUAAGCUGGCACCUGA
RNAcentral lists this ribosomal RNA (463 nucleotides) under Bacillus sp. R-41753. RNAcentral's name for it is "bacterial SSU rRNA". It matches the Rfam family "Bacterial small subunit ribosomal RNA", at positions 28 to 482 of the family's 1533-position model. Lineage: Bacteria; Bacillati; Bacillota; Bacilli; Caryophanales; Bacillaceae. The record is from RNAcentral. RNAcentral also lists the same sequence under 1 other name.